GAUGAACGCUGACAGAAUGCUUAACACAUGCAAGUCGAUGGGGAAGUGGUGCUUGCACCAUGGCAACCAUGGCGGACGGGUGAGUAACGCGUAAGGGACUUACCUGCAGGACUGGGAUAACAGGGGGAAACUCCUGACAAGACCGGAUAAUGUCAUGGAGCUGCAUGGCUUUAUGAUGAAAGGAGACGCCUGCGGAGAGCCUUGCGUCCUAUUAGCUAGUUGGUGAGGUAAUGGCUCACCAAGGCGAAGAUAGGUAGCCGGCCUGAGAGGGUGGACGGCCACAAGGGGACUGAGAUACGGCCCUGACUCCUACGGGAGGCAGCAGUGGGGAAUAUUGGACAAUGGGGGCAACCCUGAUCCAGCAAUUCUGUGUGCACGAAGAAGGUUUUCGGAUUGUAAAGUGCUUUCAGCAGGGAAGAAGUAAGUGACGGUACCUGCAGAAGAAGCGACGGCUAAAUACGUG
RNAcentral lists this ribosomal RNA (463 nucleotides) under uncultured bacterium. RNAcentral describes it as "partial 16S ribosomal RNA". It matches the Rfam family "Bacterial small subunit ribosomal RNA", at positions 28 to 507 of the family's 1533-position model. The record is from RNAcentral.